Molecule: long non-coding RNA, 1673 nt
Organism: Nyctereutes procyonoides (raccoon dog)
Lineage: Eukaryota; Metazoa; Chordata; Mammalia; Carnivora; Canidae
Exons: 6
Source: RefSeq, a predicted model, not a curated record
AAGUUUGUAGGAGCUGGUUUUGUGAUAGAAGAUGCUACGUUCAUUAGAAGCAUGGAGAGUUACAGUGGAUUUAGAGAAGCUGGAUCCCAGGACCCUGAGAUCACAUAUUUUUAAUGAUGGUAUUAACAAAACUUUGGAGCUUUGGUGAAAAAACAAGGAGAGCUGCCAGGCUAAAGUUCUUAAAAUAAAAUAAAAACAGCAAAUGGAGGCCUUGAUUGGCCUCUAUUCCUCCUGCUGGAAGCCUGGCACAACUGGAAGCUGGAAGAAAAACCGCAACCGAAUAGGCUGGCACUUUAACAGUCAUUUCCAACCACAGAUUAAUACUAUUACUGGAUUUGACUAACGGCUCUCAAUCAGCUCAACUGUCAUCACUGGAGAGCCUGAUAGCCAGUGAAGCCCAAAGAGAAAAUACAGGCAAAUCCAAAGCAUGAAGACUGCAGAGAAGAAACAGUGAGACAAAAUCAUUUUCAUCUGUGACUUUCUUCCUGGUGACUGUUUGGAGUUUCCCUACGAGCUGGUGCGAGGCACUGCUUCCUGUGGCUCAGAACAAGACUCCCUGAGGGCCGAUAUAUACCGGGGGACCGCACUCUGGAUUCUGCGUGAGGUUCUGCCUAGAAUCCCGGGGCACCAAGUCCGAGGCUUUCUGACUGAGUUCUUCCAACGUUCGAUGUUACUUCUGACAAGAAGCCCCCCUCAUCCUGCUCCAGAAAAAUGAUACACCCAGGUACCUGAACCACGAACACUAAGAACAGUGACUAAGUUUUACUCCGCACAUGCAAGGCAGAGCCCAAAGCUCAGUGCUUGACAGGCACGCUUUCAUUUAACUCAGAUCAACCCUAGGUGGGAAGUUGAUGUUAAUAUGCUCAUUUUACAGCUGAGGAAAUGAAGGUUGAGAGAUGAUGGUUACUAGUGAGUCACCAUCACCCAGCUAAGAAGUGGUGGACGCAGAACCCGGAUGCUCCAAAGCCGGUCCUUGUGACGGUUUCUCCGUGUCAUGCCCGUCACAGAGGACCAUGGAACUGUUAAUGGACUGGAGUCUCUGCCUGAACAAAAGUUCCAUGUUUUUUUUUUUUUCCCCUAAAAGAAAAAUGAAUGAUUGAAAACCACUCUGGUGAGCUUGAUGUUGAAAUGAAGUAAUUGUCUUCAGUUGAGAAGAGAGGGGGAUCCUGAGGACCUGUGAAUCUGGGGGCAAACCUGCCACCUAGCACUUCAGUAGGUUCCUUCUGCACAUUUGUGGAUCUGUGACGUACUCCUCCAUCUGCAGAGCGCAGGGACUACGUGGUCCCUGACCUUGUGGGGCUUGCAGUUUAGGAAGGGAGAAAGGAAAAAUAAUCAUUAUACAAGCAGUGAGUGCUGUGAAGAAAACAAGAUGCUCUGGUGACCAACAACAGAGCAGUGAGGAAUAGCCACAUAGGGAGGUGCCAUUAAAUUCGAGGAUGACACAGAAGAAGCAGGGCUGCUGAGGUCUAUUCACGUCCCUUUCAUCUUUGGUGGUAGCUGGAAUCCUCAAGUACUUUUCAAGAAUGCUUUCCUUGGGUUCUGUUAAGCAGGUCAACCACCACUUUACAAUCCAUAUGCUUUAUCACUGGUGCUUUCUCCAGACAGUUCAAGACAUCCCAGACAAGAUAUAAAUGAGGUUUUACUAUUCAGUAGAGGACUCCCUUUUUUUUUAC